GAUGAACGCUGGCGGCGUGCCUAAUACAUGCAAGUCGAGCGAACAGACGAGGAGCUUGCUCCUCUGACGUUAGCGGCGGACGGGUGAGUAACACGUGGAUAACCUACCUAUAAGACUGGGAUAACUUCGGGAAACCGGAGCUAAUACCGGAUAAUAUAUUGAACCGCAUGGUUCAAUAGUGAAAGACGGUUUUGCUGUCACUUAUAGAUGGAUCCGCGCCGCAUUAGCUAGUUGGUAAGGUAACGGCUUACCAAGGCAACGAUGCGUAGCCGACCUGAGAGGGUGAUCGGCAACACUGGAACUGAGACACGGUCCAGACUCCUACGGGAGGCAGCAGUAGGGAAUCUUCCGCAAUGGACGGAAGCCUAACGGAGCAACGCCGCGUGAGUGAUGAAGGUCUUCGGAUAGUAAAACUCUGUUAUUAGGGAAGAAAAAAUGUGUAAGUAACUAUGCACGUCUUGACGGUACCUAAUCAGAAAGACACGGCUAACUACGUG
Molecule: ribosomal RNA, 497 nt
Filed under: uncultured bacterium
Lineage: Bacteria
Description: partial 16S ribosomal RNA
Rfam family: Bacterial small subunit ribosomal RNA
Source: RNAcentral